AACGAACGCUGGCGGCAUGCCUAACACAUGCAAGUCGAACGAGACCUUCGGGUCUAGUGGCGCACGGGUGCGUAACGCGUGGGAACCUGCCCUUAGGUUCGGAAUAACUCCCCGAAAGGGGUGCUAAUACCGGAUAAUGUCUUCGGACCAAAGAUUUAUCGCCUUUGGAUGGGCCCGCGUUGGAUUACCUAGUUGGUAGGGUAAAAGCCUUCCAAGGCGACGAUCCAUAGCUGGUCUGAGAGGAUGAUCAGCCACACUGGGACUGAGACACGGCCCAGACUCCUACGGGAGGCAGCAGUGGGGAAUAUUGGGCAAUGGGCGAAAGCCUGAUCCAGCAAUGCCGCGUGAGUGAUGAAGGCCUUAGGGUUGUAAAGCUCUUUUACCCGGGAUGAUAAUGACAGUACCGGGAGAAUAAGCUCCGGCUAACUCCGUG
RNAcentral lists this ribosomal RNA (433 nucleotides) under uncultured bacterium. Its description in RNAcentral is "partial 16S ribosomal RNA". It matches the Rfam family "Bacterial small subunit ribosomal RNA", at positions 29 to 507 of the family's 1533-position model. The record is from RNAcentral.